UUGCAGGUGCAGCAUCAUCCAGAUUCACAUAAACUAGCUAGGGCAGAAAUUUUUCUGCACUGAUAUGAGAAUCUUGAUGAUGCUGCAUCGGCAA
Molecule: microRNA precursor, 94 nt
Filed under: Vriesea carinata
Lineage: Eukaryota; Viridiplantae; Streptophyta; Magnoliopsida; Poales; Bromeliaceae
Description: miR172b stem-loop (vca-MIR172b)
Gene: vca-MIR172b
Source: miRBase by way of RNAcentral